RNAcentral lists this ribosomal RNA (253 nucleotides) under uncultured bacterium. RNAcentral describes it as "partial 16S ribosomal RNA". It matches the Rfam family "Archaeal small subunit ribosomal RNA", at positions 474 to 727 of the family's 1478-position model. The record is from RNAcentral.
UACCAGCACCCCGAGUGGUCGGGACGUUUAUUGGGCCUAAAGCAUCCGUAGCCGGUUCUACAAGUCUUCCGUUAAAUCCAGCUGCUUAACAGAUGGGCUGCGGAAGAUACUAUGGAGCUAGGAGGCGGGAGAGGCAAGCGGUACUCGAUGGGUAGGGGUAAAAUCCGUUGAUCCGUUGAAGACCACCAGUGGCGAAGGCGGCUUGCCAGAACGCGCUCGACGGUGAGGGAUGAAAGCUGGGGGAGCAAACCGG